AUGAGCAAGGUAACAGGAGUGGUCACAACAACAGCAGCAAAUCCUUUCAAAGAUGUGAGGGCUGCGAUGCACAUUACUAUUGGUGUCAUAUGGAUGAUACCCAGAAGUAUUUCUUCAAGUGCAUGGUUGGCAAUUUCCAAGAUAGAAUGGCAAGCCCUGACCAUACCACAUAAGUUUGUGGAGAAUUUCAAAGGUCAGAUCUCUGAAGUUAUCAAGCUAGAAGCGCCUGAUGGAAACAUAUUCAACGUUCAGGCUACCAAGGAUCUAAACAAGAUAGUCCUGGGAUCUGGAUGGGGGGUAUUUAUCAGCUUUUACGAAGUAAAAGAGGACAAUUUCCUGGUCUUUAGGUACAUGGGGGAUUCUCACUUCAAAGUUCUGAUAUUUGAUUUUGGAAGUUGCUGUGAGAAGGAAGUGUUCCACGUUCUCGUGAACUACGGUCCUAAUGCCCAAGAAAAAGACAUUCGUCUUGAUCAAUCACCGCUGAGCGAAAGGCGAUGCCAGAAUGGUGGAUCAAGCAACGGUGGGUCCCAUCGAAGGUGCGAGCACUGCGAUGUGCAUUUCUAUUGGCAUCACAUGGAUGAUAGGCAGAAGCAUUUCUUGAGGCUCAUGUUUGGUGAUUUCCGUCAAGAAAUCAGUAUACCAGAGAAAUUUGUGAACAAUUUCAGAGGCAGGAUAUCUAAAGUUAUGAAGCUAGAAGCUCCUGAUGGAAACGUAUACAACAUUCAGGUUAUCAAUGAUCUGACAAGAUAG
This 750-nucleotide ribosomal RNA is filed under the name Triticum aestivum (bread wheat). Its description in RNAcentral is "partial small subunit ribosomal RNA". The record is from RNAcentral. Lineage: Eukaryota; Viridiplantae; Streptophyta; Magnoliopsida; Poales; Poaceae.